This 89-nucleotide small RNA is filed under the name Salmonella enterica subsp. enterica serovar Heidelberg. RNAcentral's name for it is "partial RtT sRNA". It matches the Rfam family "RtT RNA", at positions 1 to 88 of the family's 130-position model. From Rfam's summary of the family: This family represents a bacterial cis-regulatory element known as RtT RNA. The exact function of RtT is unknown although it is thought that it may be involved in changing the cellular response in relation to amino acid starvation. The record is from RNAcentral. RNAcentral also lists the same sequence under 3 other names. Lineage: Bacteria; Pseudomonadati; Pseudomonadota; Gammaproteobacteria; Enterobacterales; Enterobacteriaceae.
AUAUCUCUCUGUACGGGAAGGAUGAGAAGCUUCUACCAGGGUUCGAUUCGAGCGCAGCGAGAAAGCGUUGCCGCAGGCAACGACCCGAA